RNAcentral lists this long non-coding RNA (32072 nucleotides) under Sorghum bicolor (sorghum). RNAcentral describes it as "long non-coding RNA (SBIC_LNC006727)". Lineage: Eukaryota; Viridiplantae; Streptophyta; Magnoliopsida; Poales; Poaceae. The record is from RNAcentral.
GCUAAGUAUUUCUACCUAUCUUUAUACUUAUAUUAUGUUAGAAUAUUAAAAUACAUAAACUAUGGAAAACCAAAUAAAGAUUUUGUGCUUAUAUAUAUAUCUUUUGCUUAGUGUGUUUAAUAAAUAAAUAAAAUGGCUAUGCUAAUCUGAAUCUUAAUAAUAAAACUCUAGCAUGGAUAUGAUGAAUAGUUGCUCUGCCUAAUUUGCAAAUUUGAAGUUCUCUCUCAAGUUUAGACAUAACUGUUAUAAUUUAAAGCUUGCUCUAGAUCUAAACUUGUGGGAUGAAAACUUAAUCUGAAAUCUAAGUUGUUAACGGAUAUGAUAUGGGAAGGUUGAGCUGCUGUUUAUCUGUUCCUAGAGAUGCUAGAAUUUUGGAGAAUUUUAUCUUUGAAAAAUCUUAAAAAUAUUACAUGAUGAGUUCCUGUAUGAUGAGAGCUUAAAUUCCUACCACAACCAUAUAUACAUGCUUGCCAGACUUUGAGCCACACAUUUACUAUUUACUUCUUAUGAGCAUUGAGUGUGGUCAAGCUGUGUAGACCCUUAGGAGCUUGUCAUUUGGUUAAAUCAAGAUUCACUUGCACGUUCACUCAUAUAUGCUACUUCUACUCCGGAAGUACCAUCCACAUAUAUCCAUCCAUGUCCAUCUCCAAAACCACCCAAAAAUAUUUGUCGGUGUUUUCCCCCGGGGGGUCACACCAACGAGUAAAUUUGUAUGCGUGCUCCCUUUCCCGGAUGGUGGUGCAAGCAGACACAGAGAUUUAUCCUGGUUCGGGCAAGAGAAGGCCCUACGUCCAGCGCGGGGGAGAGAGUUUGUAUUAUCUCGCACCUAAGUGCUUGUACAGGGGCGAAUACAAGCGUGGUAUGAAGUGUGGAGCUCUACUACGUAUGAGCGUGGUCUUGUGUCGUCAUCCCUCUUGUUCUAUUCCUGAGUCCCUCCUUUUAUAGUUCCAAGGAGGGACCUAGGGUACAUGUAUAGGUGUAAGAAUAGGAGUCGAUAGCAGCAUGGAGCGCUGACCUACUCGAGGCUUCCGUACCGGCAUGACCUCGAGCCGUCCUGUCUUAAUAGCCUGGUGAUGAUCACGCGUGCCCCUGCAUUCUGCUCUGCGCGCCGUCUUGGAUUGGUUCGACGGAUGCACGCUUGUACGAUCCAGCGGAGUGGUUGGGAUGUAGUCAGUCGACGCCCAACCCGUCCCCUGGAAGGAUUUCUGUCUGGUCGAGGGUCAGAUGCCGUACAUUGUGCUGAUAUCCGGAGCGCUGACUUUAGACGUCUCGAGGGGGUCCCGAUUAGACGUCCCAUCCUUAUUUCCCGCGCCCUGUCAUGCCCUGGGUCGUUCGGCGGGAAGGCUGCAAAAAGAUUGAUGGGACGGAAGCCUGUUCCCUAUCACGCCUCCCGUGACCUGUGUGUUAGGUGGGGAAGCAUCAGGCGCAUUUAAUGCUCCCGCCCGCGUGCGCGCGUCAGGUGGCGGACGGCGACCUUGCGCUCGACGCCCCCCGGUUCACGUGAGCCUGUUCCGUAUUCGACGGUAACCGGCGCUCGACGCCUGAUCGAUUCGCUCGACGCUAUUUCCGUCUUCGAGGUCGCGGCCAUCGAUGGUCGUGCGUGUGUGCGGACGGAGCGUCGAAUCGAGGCGCUAGUUUUACGUACGGAUGGUUUCGUUAUUCGUGUUGGUGAGGGUACCCCUUGUUGAUACCCUCGACAGUAGCCCCCGAGUCUCCAUUCGAGCGCUGGCGCUCGAGUGGAGACUUUUGUCUUUUCAGUCGAGGUUCCGCGGGGGCGCGCGAGCGACCCCGCGGGGGUAGCCCCCGAGCCCUCGAGGGAGUAUUUAACUCCCUUGGGGGGUUAUUUUACCUAAUUUGCAGAGACACUGUCGACACCAGUGGUGGAAGGUUCUGAUCGGCUUUGCCUUGCGUGGAGGUUUCGACGUACUCUCGAUAGAGCGAGCGUCUUCCACUCCAGAUCGAGUUCCUAGCGGGUAGUCCAAGUGAGAACCCGUGCCCCUUUCGAGGGGGUCAGCUGUAGCCCGGAGGCGUUCUCAUAAAGCUGGGUCGACGUGGUCGGGGAUACCGGUCUCAUUCGAUAGAGUCCAGCGGCUCGAUGCCUCCCGUCGGGGGGAUUCCUCUCGACUGUCUCGACCCUGCCUUGGACAUCGCCAGCGAGUUUUCGAGGCAUGCCUCGAUUUUCGACCACUCGCUGGGGACCCCUGACUCUUGGUGCUCGAGAUCGGCUGUCGAACCCUUUCGACGGGCCAGCCCUCGACCUCUCGAGACUAUUGUGGGCGCGUAUCUUGGCUUACGAAGCAAGGAAGCUGCCUUGCCGGUUCGUCUUUCCGCCCGUUGGGCGCACCUUUUGAGGUAAGUGACGUUGCGACACUGUAUCGGCGGGGAAUCCGGAGCGUCCGGCCUGUGAGGAGAGAAAGGACUGUUAGAUGGCGCAUUUAUGGGGGGAGUUACCUCAUUUAUCGGAUCCGUCCAUUGGUUGGCCGCUAUCUAUAAGUACGCCGUGGCGCUGCUCCAUUCUUUCUCUCCUCUUCCGUUCUCUCGCCUCCGUCUUCUUGCUGCCUUUGCUCUCUUGCUUCCUUCACACGCGCGUGCACCCCCUCGAGCAGUAGCGAAUCCACCGUAUUCCAACCAAGAUGCCUGUGAGGCUUGUUGCCGCCGACGACUGGCGUCCAUCGUUGAUGACGGACCGCCGCCUGCUAGAGCUCGAGAAUGAAGGGCUCUUGCGCCGCCGCACCUCGCAGUCUUCGCCGGAGUGGAUCGCGCCGCCGGCGAGUCACAGGGAGCCCCAGCCACCCGAGGGCUACGUGGUGUCAUUCGCCAAAUUCCACCGCCAUGGCCUGGGCGCUCCCCCGAGCCGCUUUAUGCGGGCUCUCUGCUUCCACUACGGGGUGGAGCUCCAGCAUUUUUCCCCGAACGCCAUCACCGUCGCGGCGGUCUUCGCCGCGGUGUGCGAGGGUUAUCUGGGGAUGAUGCCCCAUUGGGAUCUAUGGCUUCACCUCUACAGGGGCGAACUUUUCAACGCCCCCACCGGGACCACCAGCGUGAGGAAACCCGUGCGGGCCGGAUGCCUCAACCUGGUGUUGAAGACGAAGAAGACGAAGAGGCCACGCGAGUACAUCCCGGUGGGGCUGUCGUCGAACCAUGCUGGGUGGGACUCCCAGUGGUUCUAUCUGAGAAACGACGACGGUCUCUUCCCCGUCUACACAGGCCGUCUGAUCUCGGAGCACCCAGACAACUGGACGUACGGCGUCGUCCAGGAGCACCAGUCACGGCUCGACCCCCUCCUCGACGUUAUGAAGAGGCUGUGCUUGGAGGGCCUGUCCGCCGCUCUUGUCCUCUCGGCCGUCCAUCGUCGGAGGGUCCUUCCCCUGAUGUCUCGGCUUUUGAGGAUGGACGAAAUGGGGCCGGGCGUCUCGUCCCGGGAUCUCGAGGCUUGCCGGAUGUCCAACGUGGCUCUGGCGGACGAUGAGGUCGUCGCCCGGGUCAGGGCGGCCAUCGCCGGCGAUUUCAAGCCGUCGCACGUUAACGGCUUCCCUAUGAGGCCUGAUGAAGGCUCGGUCGAUUUGGUAUGUCUUCUUCCUCAUGGUAGCCUUGACACUGGGUUCCUUUUCCACCCCUUUUUUCUGAUUCUAUUUUUACUAUGACAGGGGCGGAUCGACGUUCGAUCCUCGAGGCCCCCGGUGAAGGAGGACGAAGUCGAUCGCGACGCGCGGCGCCGUUCCGCCGAGAAAUCGAAGUCCGUCAAGGAGUCUAAGAAGAAAGGGGAGAAGAAGAAAAACCUUGACCGGCAAGCUUUAGAGGCGCGUCGGUCCAAAUCCAGGCAGAGGGGAGAGCCUGAAGAAGAGUCCCCCAGCGAGAAAGAUGAUGACGACGAUGAGGAUAGUGAGGACUCCGAGGGGAUGGCGUCUCGCCUUGACCGGAUCCUCGGGGGUCCAUCUCAAGGCGAGGCCGACGCUCCUCGGGUGGAAGCUUCGUCGGAGGGCCCAGGCGGAUCCCUCCGUCCUCGCGCCGAUACCCCUCCCGCGCCCAAGGUUGGUCAAGUUGCCCCGAACCCUCCCCCGGCGCCCAGGGAGAGUGGUCAUGCUAGGCCCCAGGCGACGGGGCCACUGACCCGCGGUCGUGCCGCGGCCUCCGAGAAAGGAGAGGCCGGCCGCAGGAGUGCCAGUCCCGGCGCCCGCCACGCGGGAACUGAUGCGCCUGCCCUCGAGGGGCCUAGAACCCUGACGCGGGGAGGCUCGAGGCCCGCCGGUCGGGGCGGCGGGAGGCGAGCUAUUCUUCCUGUAGGGUAAGCCCUUUCGAUGUUGUGGCCUUUGUCUUCCUGCUCCUCUGCGUUUGCUCAUAUGCCGAUCUUUUCUCAGGCUAAAGCGGACCCUCGAGCGGGCCCAGCCGUCCAUGGCAAAGAGGCUCAAAACGGGAACCGCCUCCAAGGAACCAGGUUUAUAGCUUGUUUAUGGGCCCUGUGAUGUUCUCGCGUCGGUUAUUACAGCGUCUAACCUUUAUCCCUUGUUUUGUAGGCUCCUCCGACUCCCAACCUCCAGCCGGUGUCGAGAGGAGUCCGCCUCAUCCCGUGUCUGCCUCGUCGCCGCCGACUUGUGGCGAGGCGUCCCAGACGCAAGCGUCAGAGGGAGCCCCCGAGCCCCCUCGAUUGGGGGUCGAGGGGGAACCUAUCACCAUCAGCGACACGUCUGAUGGUGACAGAGCGUCUGGGGGUGCCCGCCCUAUGGAGGAGGAAACGUCGAGCCCUCGUGUCGCGGGGUCAACUCCCUGGCCCGCCGGCCUCCGUACCCUCGAGGAGCAGAAAAAAAGAGGGAGGAGGAUGAACAGCGGGAGCGCGAGGCGGCGCGGCAGCCACAGGAGCACGAGGCACAGCAGCAGCAGCAGCAGCAACAACCACAGCAGCAACAGCAGCAGCAACAACAGCAGCAACAGCAACAGCAGCAGCAGCAACAGCAAACACCGCAGCAGCAACAGCAACAGCAGCAACAACCGCAGCAGCAACAGCAGCAGCAGCAGGUGGGCCAAGAGGAGGGACUGCUCGAGCCUCCGCCCCAAGGUCCGGCCCAGCCAGUACCAUCGGAGCCGCAAGAGCCCGGCGAGCAGGAGGAGAAUCUGCCGGCGUACGGCCCCCCAACUCCGGCGUGGCUCCUCCCGGGGGCGCCUGCCGCGAUCCGGGCGGAGCCGGGGUGAGCGGAUGGAGUGGUGGCGCUUGCGUGCCUGAAGCGCACCCCCCGACCCCAAGUCCGAGAUCAAGAGGACAAUUUACGGCAUGGAUGGGAUUGCCCCAGGGUUCCUCCGGGAACGUCGGGCGUGGGAGGACCGCUUUCCUUCCGAGGAGGAUGAAAUCGGGACAUCAGGGACCAAGGACGGGACCUGGAAGACGGUGGACGACGACGGGCGGUUCCCAUGCCUCGUCGACCUGUUCCUGCGCCAUGGGGGCUCUCUCGAGACCGUCGAGGGGCUCAUCCGCGGCGUUAAGGCACGGGCCGACCGGGAGAUGGAGCACUGGUGCCCCGAUCGCAUCCGUAUCCGGGCCUCCCACGACCCGUCUGAGCCCGAUAUCUUCCUCGACGAUCGGAAGGAGGCGGAGAAGUGGGAACACGUCGAGGAGCUCCGCCUUUGGAUGAAGCAUGUGGUGGGGCUCCUCUCAGACGUUGUUAACAACGGGCUCGGCCCGGCUUAUUUCGUAAGUGUUUCUCGAACUUCAAUUCCCACGGUGCUUUCUGGUUUCUGUGUUCUAAUCCGUACACCCCUUGAUUCGCAGGAUAUGAAAGAGACCUCCCGCAUCAAGUCCAGCUUCAUACACGCCACGAGGGGUGGUUGGGAGCAGCUCCCCCUCCUCAAGGACCAGCUCCUCGAGUCGCAGGAAAAGCUCCUGAAAGCUUAUAAAGAUCUCAUAGCGCUUGAGGAGGAGAAAAAGGUAAGGGAGGCUGCUUUGGCCGAGGCUCGAGAGGCCUCGAAGAAGUCGGAGGAGGAGACAGUGCUGCUGCGGGAGCGCGCCCUUACGGUCGAGGAGGCCGCGUCUAAGGCCAGGGAGGAGGUCCUGUCCUACAAGAACGUCAUCGCGGAUUUGGACAAGGAGAAGGGCCUCCUUAAAUCCGACCUGGACUCUCUCCGAGAGUCUUUCCGAAAGAUGAAGGUGGAGCAUGUGAACGGCGAAGUCGCCAGGGGCGCCGCAGAGGAGGCCAAGAAGAAGGCCCUCGAAGAUCUCGAGGCGGAGCGGGCUCAAUCCUGCAGUCUCUCUAACGACGUCGAGCGUCUGAAGGGAGAAUUGCUGGAGAAGAGUGGGGCCAUUGUUCAGGCUGGCAAGGUGAUCGAAGAUCUCCGCGUCGCCAAUACUGAGCUGGCGCGCUCCAACAGGGAGAUCGAGCGUGCCAACACCAGACUGGUCGGCGAGAACACGGCCCUGGAGGAGAGCGUUCGUGGUAUGUUCCUGUCGCUAGAUUUCUUCUUCAAGGCGUGUUUGGUUUUUGCUAAAGUGCCUCGUAUUGCUCUUUACAGGGCUCAAGGACGAACUCCUGGCCGCCCAAGCCGAGGCUCGCAACGCCAAGGCUCAGCUCGAAGCGGAGGUUGCUUUGAGCCGUCGAGUGCGGACGGCGAUAAGUGAUCUCUCGACCUCUUGGGAGGUCGAGCCUAUGGAUGAGUCGAGGGAGGGCGCUCGAGGCGACGCCCUGGUCGACCAGUUGUGCUACAUAGGCGCGACGCUGCGAGAUCGGGUGCGGGACGCCCUCCACAUCGGGGUGAUGCGGGUGAUGGCGGUUGUCUGCUCGGGCUUCUCCUACGACAUGGAGGUGGUGUCCCAUGGCUUCGUCACCGACAUCUCCAAGACCGACGCGGAGAACGAGGAGAGGCUCCAUGCCUUGAUCGACGACGCGGAGGCUCCUGGGGAAAGGUUGGCCAAGCUUUUCGAGCCUGAGGUGCUCCCUCCUGAGGCUAGCUCGGGCGGAGGCGAGGGCGGUGAGGAUCGUGCCGCGGACUGAGGCCUGCGAGCCUGCUCAGGGCGCCUGAGGCCCCUUGUACGAUACUUUAUUAAUUCUGUGGGUAACUGAUGCUGUAUCACUUUCGUAAUUGUUAAAUGCUUAUUUUGUCUUUCCGCUUGAUGCUUUCGUUUCUCUUUGCGCCUACGUUUGUAUCCCUUGCUCGAUUUUUUGUAAAAGACCACCUCGAUCACUUCAAUGGUGGGGAAGUGAGUAGAGUUUCCGUAGCCCGGGGGCGUCGGAGUUCUCCAGCUCGUUGUCCCUCGGCCUUUGAGGGGCUCGAGGCGCCUUAGCUACUUGAACCGUGCAAGGUUUACUACGUAAGAAAAGAAAACUUCUUGGUUUUUUCGAUACUCGGGGGGGGUCGUCCCCCUGGUAGCCCCCGAGGGGGUGCUGACUAUGAUGGGUCAUAGUCGGCGCCCCCUUUUAACGUCGAGAUCGUGACUUAUUAAUCUUCUCGGCACAAAGAAAGAAGAAUUGUUUUGAGGGAAGGACUUUAUUUAUUCAUUCAUUCGUUUACAAAGUCUUGGUACAAAACGUAAGCAGGAACAUAAGUUUAGAACUUCUAGGGGUAGAAUCGACGUAGCUGUUCGAUGUUCCAUGCGUUGGUGAGAAUUGCCCCCUUUUCGUCCGCCAGCUUGUACGUUCCCGGCUUCAGGACCUCGGCCACCACGUACGGACCUUCCCAAGGCGGAGCCAGCUUGUGGCGUCCCUGAUUGCUUUGCCGGCGUCGUAGGACUAGGUCGCCCACGUUGAGGUCCCUCUUGCGCACAUGCUUGUCGUGGUAGCGUCGAAGCCUUUGCUGAUAUCUGGCAGAGUUGAGGAGGGCCAUGUCUCAAGCCUCCUCAAGUUGGUCGACCGCGUUUUCUUGAGUCUCUUUGUUCGAUUGCUCGUUGUAGGCCUUGAGUCGAGGUGACCCAUACUCGAGGUCUGUGGGGAGGAUAGCCUCAGAGCCGUAGAUCAUGAAGAACGGGGUGUAUUUUGUGGCCCUGCUUGGUAUUGUCCUAAGGCUCCAUAGGACCGAGGAAAGCUCCUUGACCCAUUUUUUGCCGAAUUUCUUCAAUCGAUUGUAGAUCCUUAGCUUGAGUCCUUGCAAAAUCAUGCCGUUGGCACGCUCGACUUGGCCGUUAGUUCAAGGGUGGGCUACUGCAGACCAGUUCACACGGAUGUGAUGCCGAUCGCAGAAGUCCAAGAACUUUUUGCUGGUGAACUGGGUGCCGUUGUCGGUGAUGAUGACAUUGGGGAUCCCAAACCGAUGGAUGAUGUCGGUGAAGAAAAGGACGGCCUGCUCGGAGCGGAUGUUGGUGAUGGGUCGAGCCUUGAUCCAUUUGGAGAACUUGUCAAUGGCCACCAGCAAAUGGGUGAAUCCUCCUUUCGCCUUUUGUAGAGGUCCUACUAAAUCGAGCCCCCACACCGCAAACGGCCAGGUAAUGGGGAUCAUCUGAAGAGCGUGGGCAGGCAGAUGCGUCUGCUUGGCGUAGAACUGACACCCGUGACAUGAUCGUACGAGCUCGAUGGCGUCCGCCACGGCCGUUGGCCAGUAGAAGCCUUGUCGAAAAGCGUUCCCUACAAGGGUCCGUGGAGCGGCGUGGUGACCGCAAGCCCCCGAGUGCAGGUCAUCGAGGAGUUUUCGGCCUUCUUCCACGGUGAUGCAAUGUUGUAAGACCCCCGUCGGGCUCUGUCGAUAUAGCUCGUUGUCUUCGCCAUAGAUCACAUAUGAUUUGGCCCGUCGAGCGAUACGACGAGCUUCUGACCUGUCUUCUGGCAACUCGCCGCGGAUAAGGCAGUCGAGGAACGGUGUGCGCCAAUCGAAUGGUCGACCUGGUCGUCGUUCUAUCUCCAUCAUCUCUUCCACCAUCAAGAGCGUAUCGACAGCAUUGGUUGGUUGGGCGGUGGUGGCGUCGACGCCAGCCCCCGUGCCUAGGUCGACGGAUGGCUCGUGAAGAUCUUUUGAGAAUGCAUCAGGCGGCACCGUGCCUCUGGUCGAUGCGAUCUUGGCGAGUUCGUCGGCUGCCUCGUUGUAGCGUCGAGCGAUAUGGACAAGCUCGAGACCGUGGAACCUGUCCUCGAGUCGACGGACCUCCUUGCAGUACGCUUCUAUUUUUGGGUCGUGGCAGCUCGAGGUUUUCAUUACUUGGUCGAUGACGAGUUGGGAGUCACCUCGGACGUCGAGGCGUCGGACUCCUAACUCGAUAGCGAUCUUGAGACCGUUGACGAGGGCCUCAUAUUCUGCGACAUUGUUAGAUGCGGCAAAAUGAAUCCUGAUUACGUACCUUAUGUGGAUGCCCAAGGGUGAGAUGAACAGCAGGCCGGCUCCGGCUCCAGUUUUCAUGAGUGACCCAUCGAAAUACAUCGUCCAUAGUUCCGCCUGGACCUGGGUCGGGGGGAGCUGGGUGUCCGUCCAUUCUGCGAUGAAGUCUACCAGGGCCUGCGAUUUGAUGGCCUUGCGAGGCGCAUAAGUGAGAGUCUCACUCAUGAGCUCGACCGACCAUUUUGCUAUUCUUCCCGUGGCUUCUUUGCUCUGGAUUAUUUCGCCUAAAGGAAAAGACGAGACCACCGUGAUGGGGUGGCCAAGGAAGUAAUGCUGCAGCUUGCGACGGGCAAGGAUUACGGCAUAAAUCAGCUUCUGGAUUUGGGGAUAACGUGCUUUGGUCUCCGAAAGCACCUCGCUGACGAAAUAUAGUGGCCUUUGAACCGGUAGCGCAUGUCCCUCCUCCUGCCUCUCGACCACCACCGCCGCGCUGACGACCUGGGUCGUCGACGCGACGUAGAGGAGCAGCGGCUCUGCAGGUUGAGGUGGAACCAGGACUGGUGCCGAGGUCAGCGUCUUCUUCAGCCUUUCGAGUGCUUCCUCGGCCUCGGGGGUCCAAGAAAAGCGCUCGACCUUCUUUAGGAGUCGAUAUAAUGGUAAUGCCUUUUCUCCUAGUCUCGAGAUGAAACGGCUCAGAGCCGCCAGGCACCCCGUGACUCUCUGUACACCCUUGAUGUCUCGGAUCGGCCCCAUUUUCGUGAUGGCCGAGACUUUCUCGGGGUUGGCCUCGAUGCCGCGCUGCGAAACGAUGUAUCCUAGGAGCAUGCCUCGAGGCACACCGAAAACGCACUUCUCGGGAUUGAGCUUGAUCCGGCUGGUGCGUAGGCAGCUAAAGGCAAUCUCGAGGUCCUGGAUCAGGUCUCCUCGUCGCUUUGACUUGACGACAAUGUCGUCGACGUAGGCCUCGACCGUUGACCCUAUAUGUUCGCCAAAUACGUGGAGCAUGCAACGUUGAUAUGUGGCUCCCACGUUUCGAAGCCCAAAUGGCAUGGUCACGUAGCAAUACAUCCCAAAAGGCGUGAUGAAAGAGGUCGCGAGCUGGUCGGACUCCUUCAUUUUUAUUUGGUGGUAACCAGAAUAUGCAUCAAGGAAAGAAAGGGUUUCACAUCCCGCGGUAGAAUCGACAAUCUGAUCAAUGCAUGGCAAUGGAAAGGGAAGUUUUGGACAUGCUUUAUUCAGACUAGUAUAAUCGACACACAUCCUCAUUUUCCCAUUCUUUUUCUUAACUAAUACAGGGUUUGCUAACCAGUCAGGAUGAUAAACCUCCUUGAUGAAUCCGGCCGUCAAAAGCUUGUGGACUUCCUUGCCAAUGAUCUUGCGCUUCUCCUCAUCGAAUCGGCGCAACCGCUGCUUCACUGGCUUGGAACCGGCUCGAAUCUCCAAGGAGUGCUCGGCGACUUCCCUCGGUAUGCCUGGCAUGUCCGAGGGACUCCAUGCAAACAUAUCAGCAUUUGCACGGAGAAAGUCGACGAGCACGGCUUCCUAUUUGGGGUCGAGGUCGGCGCUGAUCGUCAGCACUUCGCCGUCGGAGUUGUUGGGGUCGAGCGGGAUCUUCUUGGUUCCUUCCGCCGCCUCGAAGCUGCCCGCAUGACGCUUAGGCUCUGGAGCCUCAGCGGCCAUGGCCUCGAGCUUUGCAACGAGCUCGGUGGAGCUCUCGACCGGCUCCCCGUACUCGACGCACUCGACGUCGCACUCGUACGCGUGCUCGAAGGAGGAACUGACAGUGAUGACGCCUUUGGGACCAGGCAUCUUCAGCUUCAAGUAGGUGUAGUUGGGUAUAGCCAUGAACUUGGCAUAGCCCGGGCGCCCGAUGAUGGCGUGGUACGUGCCUCGGAACCCAACCACCUCAAAGGUGAGGGUCUCCUUCCUGAAGUUGGCCGCUGUGCCGAAGCAGACCGGUAGGUCAAUUCGACCUACUGGCAGUGCCUUUUUCCCUGGCACGACACCAUGGAAACCGCCGGCGCUUGGCUGGAGGCGUCCUCUAUCGAUGCCGAGGAGGUCGAGGGUCUCGAGGUAGAUGAUGUUGAGGCUGCUGCCACCAUCCAUCAGCACUUUCGAGAGUCGGGUGUUGACGAUGAUGGGGUCGACGACGAGCGGGUAGACGCCUGGGGUGACUACCUUGUCGGGGUGGUCCUCUCGGUCGAAAGUGAUAGGAGUGCUUGACCAGCUAAGGUACUGGGGCACCUCCAUUCUUGCCGCAAAGACUUCGCGACGCUCCCUUUUGCGCUGCCUCAUGGUUAAUUGAGUCGAGGGCCCGCCAUAGAUCAUGUAGCAGUUGUGGACGGCGGGGAAGCCAUCGUCAUCUUUGUUGUCCUCCUUGCUGCCAGCCUUCUCUUUCUUGGAGUCAUCACGCGUAUCUUUUUUGAACCCCAGACCGUCGAAAUGCUUUCUCAGCAUACGACAGUCCUUGAGCUUGUGGUUGGCGCCUCCCUUAUGGUAAGGGCACGGCUCCUCCAACAUCUUGUCAAAGAUGCCUCCAUCCGGAGGGCCUCGAGGCUUCUUUCGAUCCAUGGCGGCGACAAGGUUGUCAUCGGAAUCUUUCCGGUGGAACUGCCGCACUUUCUGCUUCUUUUUAUUUUUCUUGAGGCCUCGACUGGGGGUCCCAUCUUCGUCGACGGGCUGCUUGCCUUUUCUUCCUUCUGAGCUGAAGAAGGCGCCGACUGCCUCCUCCCCUGCUGCGUAGUUGGCUACUACGUCCAUCAGCUCGUCGACGGUCUGAGGUCGAUUGCGACCUAAUUCCCGCACCAAGUCUCGACUGGUGGUGCCCGAGACAAACGCCAAGAUGACGUCGUGGUCAGGGAUGUGCGGCAGCUCAGUGCGCUGCUUCGAGAAGCGUCGAGCAUACUCCCGAAGAGUUUCUCCUAACUUCUGCUUGCACUUGCUGAGGUCCCACGAGUUCCCUGGCCGUAUGUAGGUCCCUUUGAAGUUACCCUCGAAGACUCUGACCAGAUCAACCCAGUUGUGGAUCUGAUUGGCAGGGAGUUCCUCGAGCCAUCGACGGGCGGUGUCGGAGAGGAAAAGGGGUAGCUGUCUGAUGAUGGCUCGAUCAUCACCUCGAGCGCCACCUAGCUGACAGGCCAGCCUGAAGUCGGCCAGCCACAACUCUGGUUUGGUCUCUCCAUUGUACUUCGCGAUGCUGGUCGGGGGUCGAAAUGGAUUGGGCAGGGGCGUGCUGCGGAUCGCCCUGCUGAACACCCGUGGGCCUGGUGGCUCGGGGGCCACCCGGUCCUCGUCGCUGUCGUAUCUCCCACCGCGAUGCGCGCUAUAACCGCGCUCUUCCGCGUCUCCGUGCCGGCGGCGUCGAUUUUCUUUGAUGUCGUGCCGCGCGUCGUGUCGACGUUGAUUGUCGACGGGGGGGAUGAGAGCGGUCUUUCUACCUCGAGGGGGAGGUUGUUGAUGGACUGACACCUCCUCUUCGUUUAGAGGCUGUUCGUCGCGCUUCUCUGUGGCAGCUCCUCGUCGUCGAGACGCCGAACUUUCAGCUUGUUGAACCGCGGCCACUUGGAGCAAUGUCUGUACCUCAUCUCGAAUGCGUCGGGCCUGGGAAUUCGACGGCUCUGGCAUGUUACGUAGCAGCAUCGUCGCUGCCACUACAUUCUGGCCUGCUCGAGGGAAACGGCUGACAGGUUGCUCUGGCUCUGCGUCGCCGACGAUCUGUCGAUGUACCUCUCGAGCGCGUCUGCGGACACUUCCGCCCGGCGGGUAGGGCAGGUCUUGCUCGAGGAUUUGCUCGAGCAGGACGAGGCGCUCGCGGUCUUCGUCGAGCUUCAUCUUGAGCUCCCGCAGCUGCGCGAGCUGCGCGGUUCUGUCUUCCUGAGGAGGGGGGCCGACCUGUCCGUCGUUCGCAGGCGUCCUAGGGUCUUCUCGCGCCGCGGGGGCUCGACCACCCGCAGCAGCAUCCCGUGUCUCGUCAGUAGUUUCUACCGCCCCGUCGAUGUGAUAGCAUUCCCUCGUAGGGUCAUAGCUAUCUGUCUCGGAGUCGGAGUCCGGUUCGGCGGCGUAGAAACACCCACGUCCUUCCUCCAGCAAUCAUUGCCUGAGGGAGGUGAUCGAGUAUCGUCCGGGGCCUAGACGACGGAGGCCUUGUACUCGGGAAAGGUCCGGCAGCUCGGACGCCGGCCGCCGCGCUUCAGAGCUACGUGGGAGGACCAUUGGUCUUUCUACGUACGCCUGGGCGUUUGGGCAUAUCGCCCUGGCGAGCGACGCCGCGGCGUUGUCCAAUCCGAACGGCAGUGCCGCUCUUGGAGAGAACAACCCGUGUGGAAGUAGCCUAGCAGCGGUGGGGGAGAGCGCGCGAGACGCGUCCCCUCCCGUCGUCGUGCGGUGCUGAGUCGUCGCGCUUGUUGCUCCAUCACACGGUGCUGCCGACUUGUGGCCUACGUCCUGCCUCACACGAGUUGUUGGUCGUGCUGAAGCAGAGGGGCCACGGUGGUGCUGUCCGCGCCUCUUCUUAGGCGGGGAGGCGUGGUGGUGAGGGCGUCUCGGGGCCUUCAACCGUGCUGGCGUAACGCGGGCUCCUCCUGGUCCUUUGACUGAGAGCAAGAUCAUGUCGUAGCCGGAGCCCGUAGACAUGAACUCGAGACUCCCAAACCAAAUCACCGUGGAGCGCGGAAAUGGCGAGGCAAGAGUAGCCAUCCGGAAAGGAGUGGGAAAUCGAUGAAAAACACGCAGGACCCCUACCUGGCGCGCCAAUUGUCGGUGUUUUCCCCCGGGGGGUCACACCAACGAGUAAAUUUGUAUGCGUGCUCCCUUUCCCGGAUGGUGAUGCAAGCAGACACAGAGAUUUAUCCUGGUUCGGGCAAGAGAAGGCCCUACGUCCAGCGCGGGGGAGAGAGUUUGUAUUAUCUCGCACCUAAGUGCUUGUACAGGGGCGAAUACAAGCGUGGUAUGAAGUGUGGAGCUCUACUACGUAUGAGCGUGGUCUUGUGUCAUGAUCCCUCUUGUUCUAUUCCUGAGUCCCUCCUUUUAUAGUUCCAAGGAGGGACCUAGGGUACAUGUAUAGGUGUAAGAAUAGGAGUCGAUAGCAGCAUGGAGCGCUGACCUACUCGAGGCUUCCGUACCGGCAUGACCUCGAGCCGUCCUGUCUUAAUAGCCUGGUGAUGAUCACGCGUGCCCCUGCAUUCUGCUCUGCGCGCCGUCUUGGAUUGGUUCGACGGAUGCACGCUUGUACGAUCCGACGGAGUGGUUAGGAUGUAGUCAGUCGACGCCCAACCCGUCCCCUGGAAGGAUUUCUGUCUGGUCGAGGGUCAGAUGCCGUACAUUGUGCUGAUAUCCGGAGCGCUGACUUUAGACGUCUCGAGGGGGUCCCGAUUAGACGUCCCAUCCUUAUUUCCCGCGCCCUGUCAUGCCCUGGGUCGUUCGGCGGGAAGGCUGCAAAAAGAUUGAUGGGACGGAAGCCUGUUCCCUAUCACGCCUCCCGUGACCUGUGUGUUAGGUGGGGAAGCAUCAGGCGCAUUUAAUGCUCCGGCCCGCGUGCGCGCGUCAGGUGGCGGACGGCGACCUUGCGCUCGACGCCCCCCGGUUCGCGUGACCCUGUUCCGUAUUCGACGGUAACCGGCGCUCGACGCCUGAUCGAUUCGCUCGACGCUAUUUCCGUCUUCGAGGUUGCGGCCAUCGAUGGUCGUGCGUGUGUGCGGACGGAGCAUCGAAUCGAGGCGCUAGUUUUACGUACGGAUGGUUUCGUUAUUCGUGUUGGUGAGGGUACCCCUUGUUGAUACCCUCGACAAUAUUCUACUCCUAAUCCGGGAGAGAAUAGCCAAAAAUAUUUUUGUUUUCCCUUGUAAAAUAAAUGCUCAAGUUAUCUUGCUACUACCACUUGCUAUAUUAUCACAAGAGAUGAGUGCUCUGAAAAAAAAAGAAAAGAGAAGAAAAGAAAAAAUAAUAAUAAUAAACGAGGAAAUAAAAAGGGGCAAGUGCCCGGAACCUCGAAAGAAAGAAAAAGUGAGACGAGAGGUAAAAAUGGACAAGUGUCCGACAGUAGAAUUAGGGGUACAAGAUACCCACCUGAGAGGAAAGAAAAAGAAGAGCAUAUCAUUCUCCUCAUAAAGUUUCAAAAAGCAAGGAAGGUAUGUAUCCCCUCAAAAGAGCAAAAGUAGAAUUAGACUUUCACCAAUGUUAUCACCAUCAUCACCAUACACCAUUCAUUCACCACACAUGCACAUCUUGAUUUGGCUUAUUGUUUUGUUUCUUUGGAUCCAUGGUUUGACUAUACAAUAAAUAUCUUAUAAGUAUGUAUACUUUAUCUCCCACCUAUGAGCUCCAGAUAUUAAAGCCUUAUUAGAGUAGGGUGAGAGAGAAGGCAAUGUCACUAUGCCUUAUACCACAAAUACCACAUAUCUUGAGAGAAGGCAUAUACCAUCACUGCCUUGGUAAGGAUCCAGAAAUACCACAAAAGAGAGAUUUAGAGAGUCAUACAAGGAAUCUCUGAGUUUUAUUUGAAAAUCUGUAAAAACUCCAGAGCUAUAGCUGAUCAAGAAUAAGAGACAUGGCACUUGGCUAGACUGUUCUAUCUUUUAACUACUCAAGACAGAAGUGACGGUUACAAGUCCCAUGGUGAAAGGUAAAGUAAGUAAGUUUUAGUUCUUGACAGUUUACUCUAACUCAGAGAUGAGAUCUUAUUUAAAAGCAUGUGUACCGUCAAAUUUUUAAGAUAUUGCAACAACUUCUGAUCCAUUGCUGAGUCUAUCCUUACUCAGGGACGAGCAAGAGGUAAGCUUGGGGGAGUUUGUUGACGGUCCUUAAGUAUCAAAUUUAAUUAUCAAAUAAACAAAGAAAAAGAUCCAAAUGAAAUCAACAUCUAGACUUAGGGUUUUAUCUAACAGAAUUCCACGAGUUUUGGUGUUUGUCUAUUUCUGCAGGGUGUUAUCAGGAAAUAAGGAAGAAAGGCCCACAUGUCUGGAUUACAUAGAGAUAUCAACGUGCCGUGCAAUUAUCUUACAUCUAGAAGACUCCAGAAGCCACGGGAAGGAAGCGGAGACCGAACGGAGUCAGGGACAGGGCGCCUGCCCAAGUCCUUAGGGCGCCCGCCCACCUUUUUUGGCCAAUCACGCUCAAUCUCGCGGAUUAUGCUCCACUGACCUAAAGGAUCCAGAAUAACCGUUCAAUCAAUGUCGGUUUGAUCCGACGGCCCAGGUUCACUUGAGGGGACUAUAUAACCAGACCCCCUGGCCCCUGGAGGAGGCACCCCUUGAUUAUUAUUCAUUAUUCAUAGACAGAGCAAAAACUAGGGUUUAGAGAUGAGAGCUCUCCACUCUUCUCUAAACUAGAGUAGAUCUAGAUAGUAGCGAGAUGGAGAGCGAAGGAGGAUUAGAGGAGAGGUCGGCCUGUCGGCUCUUCCUCCGGUUGUACUUCGUCAUGAUCAAGCUCUAAUCAAGCUUGCUCAUGGGAUGACUCUGGUAAUCUACUUCUAAUUCAUUAUGCAAUUACUAAUUAUGUAUGUUCUAGUUCACAACUCUUUUGAGUACUUCUAAUCUAUAGGACGCUAUAGGUUAGAGUUGUAGUAUAGGUGUAAGCAUGGUGCUUAGACCUAGAUUACUUGUGGAUAUCCCCUGUCUAGCUAGAUCGUGUGGUAGGCCGCGUAGGUGACAGUUACGUUGGUCCUCUGUAGUCCACCUCUCGUUAGCAGGACGGGUAGGGUUUAUCGGCCUAUGGAUAAGCAUCCUUUGUGGUGUAAUCUUAUCACGUGGUUCGUCCCAGACAUAGACAUACCCCUUCGAAGUAGAGAAACCAUAAUUAUCCUCUCUAUUCUGCUACCAUCGCCCAUAUACUAGAUUGCUCUACUCUUUAUUCCCAUUUUAUCACUCACUGUUAUCUUACCUUUAAUAUUGUUCUUAUUCGAUUCUACCAUCUUUCCUAUUUACACCUAUCUAUCUAUCUUGGUUAAGUUAGAGCGUAGUUGGUUCUCCCGUUUCCCUAUGGAUAUGAUAAAACCUUUAACCGGGUAAAAGCUUCAACGGUAUCCGUGCGCUUGCGGAUGAUCUGUGUGCGUAUAAAUACCAUAGUACACUCUAGUGCCAUGCUGGGGAUGACAACCUAGUAUUCAAGUGGUGUUAGCAAGUGUCAACAGGAAUUGCUUGAUACCGUUGAUGCAUAUAUACUCCUUGUUAUCACUACUCGUUCAUCUACGUCGUCCUAUGUAGAUAGGCACGGAGUCUAUGCUUAGCCUGCUUAGUCCGGUAGAAGUCGGGUGAUUUCCUGUCACCUGCGAGAUAUAGGUGGAUACCUGCUUGACUAAGCGGUGAUUGCUUUGGGAAAGAAUAACCAAGGGUGGAAUGGAACUUGAGACCGGGCAGGGUCUUAUGGUGGGUUGACCAUAGUACCCCUGCCUGUGUCGAUUAAGAACCGAUCGUUAACGGCCCUCUUGUCAUGUUGAACGCAUGCCCCACAUUUAGCUAGAAGGAGAAGUCGUUCCGACCGCGAAGCCUGAGCACUAUCCGGGCCAGGAAUCGGCCCGAUGUACGCGCUGUAUUGGUGAUGGUUGAGGAGAACGAUGAGGGCGCGGCGUGCAACCUUGGGAUACCUUGGAUACCUCGGUCGCUGGAACGGUCCUCGGGUACGGACGGUGCCUGUCGAACCCGCGAAUUGGUCCUGGAUAGUGCAACACGAUGAUCUGUAGCUCACUUGAUCAGUGAGUGUGGUUUGUGUGGGGAAUAAUUCGCCAGCUGGUUAGAAAUCGAUUCGAAUCGCCAUCGCUCCUGGACAGUGAACACUUGACAUGAGCUUCGUCCUCAUAGUAAGGAAUAUGGAACACUUGGGUUAUGUGAUGAAUAAUUGCAUGAAUGCUAUGAUGAGGUACCAUCAUAUUAUUACAUUUGUUUGCCAUAGUGCAGGUGCAAACCUAGAUAAUAGGUAAUGAUACUUUCAACUUGAGCUAAUUAAAAGAAGAAGGAUUCCUUUAGGAUAUGUUAACAGAAUAGCGCUUUUGCGCAUAAAGUCAUCUGCUACCCCACUAUAUAGCCUUCACGAUCCUUGAAGAGUCUUUAUUUUUGGUUUAUGACGGGUAAGUCUAGCUGAGUACAUUCUCGUACUCAGGGUUCUACUCCCAUGUUGUUUUGCAGAUGGUCAAAUGUACUAUGGUUAUUGCAUCCUCUGCUUGUACCCAGCAAUGGGCGAUGACUAGACCAAGGGCGAUGGUCACUCUAUCUUCUCCUUUGCUUUUGUGGAAAUGACCAAAACUAUGGCACUGUAUCAAACUAAGUAUGUGUAUGUUAUUUUUGAACUAUGAAGCUUCCGCUACUUGAGAACUUGGUUUGUAAUAAUUUUAAGAACUCCGAUGUAUUUUAUAAAGGUUGUAAACUGGAUGUAAUUGUGAAUGGUGACCGCUGAACUUAUUACGAUCUUGGUUGUAUGUACGAAAUGUGGUUUGAAAUCCUUCGAGAUUUCACGGACUACCGGAAUUAUAUGGGCUUAAGCUCGAUGGUUUGACUGUGCAAAUGGUCGCUAUUAGGCUUAAUCUCUUAUAAUUUGGACGGUUCUGUUACAAGCCACAUAUUCCAUCACACUUUUAUCGCCUUGUCGCAAGGCGAGGAAUUCUUCUGCUUUCAUUGCCAUAAGUCCCUCUGGAAUGUAGUGGGCGUGAAAAGAGUCCUUAAACUCCGUCCAGGUGACCUGGUGUGUAGGAUUUGGAUGGCAAGAAAAUUUUCCCACCACGCCCCUACAGCUCCCUGAAGCUGCUGGGCGGUGAAGAGGGGUUUCUAAGUUUCUGAGCAACGAAUCAGACGGAAUUUAUGCUCCAUUGUUUAGACCAGUCAUCAGCCUCUAAGGGUUCAUCUGCCUUUGUGAACAAUAGGGCCUCGUCUCAUUGAAAUCUACAUAACGAGUCUCUCCCUCUUGAUUAUUCUGAACUCGGAAAUUUGGGGGGAGGAUGGGGUUGUCAUUGCGCCAACUCACGCAACAGACGAGCAUUAAUGGUGGUGGCACUGAGAAGAACAGCAAUAGCAUCAGCUAGGGAAGGUGGAGCAGGUGGAGGAUUGGGGAUGUCCUCCCCUCCCUACGAAGGUCCAGCUCCAUCAGAUCCGCGGGUGCGCAUCGGCAUCUGCUACAACAGUUACAUUUACUUAUUACCUCUCAAAGCCCACAUCUCGUAAAACUAUUUUACAUAAGUCAACUUAUUUAUCAUACAACUCACAUCAAACAGUUCCACAUACUUAAAACAAUCGAUUACAGCUUUUCAAACUUAAAACACACUUUAUUGCUAACCCAACCCAACUACGAUAGUCUAGAAAGCUCUACAACGACACCGCCCGCAACUCCACCGAACUAGUCCGUGUGGUCGGAACCAUAGCCCGGGUCGUCGUCGUUAUCGCCGUGGUCAUCCCCUAGGUUGUUAUCACCAGAGUCGGGUUCCUCCUCACUGCUGGGGUCUUGGUUAGGCUCUCCCCCAUCUGCUAGCUCUCCAUCAGUAUCCAUCUCCCAUUCCCCUGGAGGUGGAUGAAGCUGAUGAUACAAGUCGAAUGCAAUAUCCCGGUGUUGCAUUGCCAUAUCACUAACUGUCUCCAGAUGGUGUGCCAACUCAAGUUUCUCAAGUUGCAAUUGAUCCUCCCGUUGCCACGUGACGUCUCUCUGUGCGGCGACAGUGGCCGCCAUCUUCUUGUAGAAAUUCUUGGUGUACUUGCUUUUAGAUAGCUUGGCCUUCAUGCGGGUCAGCUCGUGCAUAUGCGUACUCCUAGCCUCCUCCUCCCAGGCAACGACUGCGUUGUGCUCUUCCACCAUGUGGGUCAGCAUCGCCUCGCAAUUCUCCAUGGCUUGUUUUUUAUUUGUCAAUUGGGCUUUGAACUCGCCAAUCUCCAUAACGUUGAACAUUCUCUCUCUAGUCACUUCAGUUAACUCUGCCGAUAACCUUUCUAUCUCCUGCUGAGGUUGGGAGCGACUGCCACUAGCUUGAUCAUUCCUCGGGGCCAGCUGAUGUCGGGGCACUCCCUUGGGACCUGUUCUCUUGCGAGGAGUUUGCUUCAAACGUCCGAUCCUAUAGAGGGUGAGUUUAGAUUAGUAAAGGGGACCUUAAAGGUUAGCAAGAAUGGGAAUGAUCCCAUACAACCCAACCCAAGUAAAGAGGAAGGUAAUUAAGCAAGUGAUAUACUUUAUGGUGCUCCUUCACAUGACCUUAAAAACUCUAAUAAGGCCUACAGACAUGGGUAAAGUAAAGUUAAAGCACUUGGACUCAAAAUAGGCAAUUUUAGAAUAUUAGAUCCAAAUAGAUUUGAAGUUUUUCAAAGGAUACAAUAGUCAUCUUAGCAAUGAAUGCUCUGAUACCAGCUAUGGCAGAACCUCCUAAGUAGUUGGGUUCACCGACAGCCGUCAUUGUCCCAAGGACCUCUGAUAGUGAUGCCGAGGAUCCACCUACUCUAGAAGCCCGAUGAGUAUCCCAGGAUGCUCAUUCCACUGCUACCUAUGGCAUAAUAACCGAGCUCGUCUUGACCACUAGAAAUGGUCAAUUAAUGAGAAUUUCUUCUUCUCGCCCUUACAGGAUAGCAACUGACCACCUUAGCACCAGGAUCAUUCAUUGCAAAGACAUUGCAGUAUCACCAACAGUAUAUAACCAAAGUAGCGUUUCAGAGUAAGACAACGGAAGUAUUACUUAAUUUAAUUUACAAAAGUAGUUCAUCAAAGUAGGACUUAGGUAAAAUGUUUUUACGAGCCAGGUCCAGCGGAGCAACUUUAACCAUAUUACAAAGAUUAUAAACUUACAGACCCUGCACAUGGGUCAUGCACAUUCCUCAUCAUCGUCAACCUUGACGACGGUCACGCAAUAGGGUCCAAAACAAGUCGGCUCCUGAACUUCACCUACAACAGGGGUUAUAAAACCCUGAGUACUGGAGUACUCAACAAGACAUACCCGGCAAAAAAAAAUAGGAGAACCUAGGAAUGCUUGCUUAGGGUAGACAAUGAGUGGCUGAGCAAGGAGCCAAAUUGUUUUGCAUAAAAGCUUACUAAAAGUGCAUCCUUACUUUCAAGUUUAGCCAUGAAUUGCUCACCUCGAGAGGCCGAGGAAUUCGAAGACAGUCUAUCUAGUUGCUUUUUACAGACAAGUCUAUAAAUUCCUAGUCCUUAAUAACAAUGUUAUUCAUCCGACAGCCAUAGCUUCAUGUCACUCUGAGUCCGGGAAUUGGGAUCCGAACUUCAUAAGACAUUUUCUUUCCCCAGAUCAUAACUUAGUUGCAUAUUUAACUACGAUGGGGGUUAGUGGAUUGACUCUCCCAAAUGGGGAGCAACGACGAUUUGAACCGCUUAGCAAUCCAGCUGGAGUUCCUAACCACCCGACAUAUAUAGAACUGAAUCUUGCAAAUGUCAACCCAAAUCUAGCUUUCCCAAGAUCUGACCGGGUUUGCGGCACCCGAGAGCACAGUACUCCAACGUCCAGCCCAUUUGCUAGGAGGGUACACGCUACUCUCGCCAUCACUCCACGCCCAGUGCGCGAGUAGCCGCUCUCGUCGAGGAAUCACAAGACUGGGCUUACCGUGGGCAAGUGGCUAGUACUAUAAAUUCUCAACCCAGCAGGCCAUCAACGGACCGGUCCUUAAUCGACACAGUUGGAGACACUACUUUAAGACUCCAUUCUUAAAGCUGAAAGCCCAAGUUUGGUUUUGGUAAUUAAUGACACCAAGUUGCUAAUGCCUUGUGUUUAAGUGAUUUGAGUUAGGCAUAGCAACACAUGUGAUGAAGGUGCAAUGGUGGCAUGGAAAGGUGGCCACAUGAUCACAAAGGGAUGAAGAAUGAAGUGAAGUUCAUGGUGAUAGACGAGGAGCAAAGUUAUCAAGGCAAAGGUAUAAACAUAGGAUUUUACUUUUGUCGGUCUAAGAUGAGUAGAGAAGUGAUUGACCGGGUUUAGGAUAGAUAGCCGACUAUCAAGAGGGGAAAUCACGGUCAUCUCUUGAAUCAAGUGCUACUAGGUCCUUGUCUUGAGCAUAUGCAUUAGGUUCUAGUAAAGUGCUAACUUAACUCCUUUUGUGAAAAUGUUUGUGAAAAGCUAACACACAUGCACUUUGGUGAUGGACACUUGUUGGUGUCAGCACUUUUUCAAAGGAGGUGGAGUUCCUAGGGUUGAGAGGGGUGUGGGUUCCUCUCUCCCUCCCGCCGAGCAAGCUCGGCGGGAUUCAGCGCUUUUGAGAAAGACAAGUGUAUUUUUUCUAUUGUGUCGGUGGCAAAUUUGGAGAAGUCGUGGGAGUGUUUUCUCACUGAGAAACACUCACCAGACGCUGAGUGCGGAGGCACCGGACGCUGGCCUCAGAGUCCGGUGUGCUUGACCCUGCUAGGGUUGAGCACCGGACGCAUUCUGAGAGCGUCUGGUGGUUAGCGUCCGGUGUAAGGGCGUUUUGUGACCCUCUCUGCGUAUGGGUCCGGUGAGCACCGGACGCUACCGGUGCUUAGCAUCCGGUGACCCUGCGUUUUGCGACCCUCUCUGCGCAUGAGUCCGGUGUGCACCGGACGCGUCCGGUGUGGACUUGCAGAUCGUCCGGUGGUCCGCAGGUGACCGUUAGAAUCUGACAUGCGGGAUUCAAAGAGGACACGUGGCCUAUCCCUGAGCACCGGACGCUGGGGGGUCGAGCGUCCGGUGACCCCGAUUUGAGCCCAGUGAAAACAGCCAACGGCUAGUUCUUUGAGGGGGCUUAUAAAUAGUUGGUGGUCGGCUUUGGGAGGUGCUCUCUUGGACUUUUGAAUAAUUGAGAUAUACAUUGAGCUAGAGAACACUCCCUCCACUCAUCUCCUUGCUUGAUUGCUAUUUUUAGUGAGAUUGAGUGAGAUUCAAGUGCAUUGCUUUGAGAGUUGCAUUUAGUGGCACUUGAUUCUUGAGUUUGCUGCGGAUUUCUUAUUACUCUUGGGUGUUUCCCGACGCCCUAGACGGUUUGCAGCAGCGGUGGUGUUGAGCUCGUGAUUGGAGAUUGUUUCGAGCCUCACCAAGUGAUUUGUGAGGGGUUCUUGAGCCUUCCCCGCGGGAGAUCGCAAUUGGCUACUCUAGUGGAUUGCUCGUGGCUUGGAGGAUCCCCAUCUUGUGAGUGGAUGUGCGGCACCCGCUGAGGGUUUGACUUUGGAUUGCCAAUUAGCUCGUGAUCCAUCAAGUGGGUGUAUCGCCACAACGAGGAGUAGCUUGCGGGAAGCAAGUGAACCUCGAUAAAAAUCUUGUGUCAUCUAUUGCCGAGGAUUCUCUUGUGAUUGUGAGUGAUUGGUUGGUUAUAUCUCUGCUCUACAACAUUGGUAUAACAAUCACUCUCCACUCCUUUACUUACCUGUAUACCUUGCUAGUUGGUUGUUGUGCUUUAGUGUUUAGCCUUUUACUAGUUUGUAUAGGUGGCUUGCAUACCUUAGUUGAGCUAGUGCUAGUUUUGCUUCACCAUUUGUUUUACUAACUCGCUUGCUUAGUGAAGUUUGUAGAAUUUUUAAUUAGGCUAUUCACCCCCCUCUAGCCAUUUGGACCUUUCAAGUGGUAUCGGAGCCAAGGCACCGUUUAUUUGAGGCUUAACAACCUACGGUGAAGAAAUGGCUCUUAGUUUGCAUAUCAACAACACUAAGAAGGCACCUUACUUUGAUGGCACCAAUUAUGCAUAUUGGAAGGUCAAGAUGACCGCCCAUCUCAAGUCAAUCAAUAGAGAAGUUUGGAAGGUGACCGAAACAAAGUUUGAGGUUGCAAAUGAGAAUGCACCUACACCGGUUGAAGAAAAGAAGCUUCAAUGCAAUGACAUUGCAAUUAGUGCUCUUCAUGAAGCUCUUGAUGACAAGACCUUUGAGCAAAUCAAGAACAUUGAGGUUGCUCAUGAUGCAUGGGCAAAAUUAGAAGAAACAUUUGAAGGCACCAAAGGUACUAAGACCGCAAAAGUUUACAUCCUCCAAGAGAAGUUCUCAAGCUUCAAGAUGCAAGAAGACGAAAGUGUGCCGGAGAUGUUUCACCGGUUGCAAGUUAUUGUGAAUGAGCUCAAGGCACUUGGGGAAGAAGUAAAGGAUAGUCAAUUCUCUAUGAAGUUCUUGAGAAGCUUGCCCAAGAGAUUUGACACAUUGAUCACCGUGCUAGUCAAGACAACACUUAGUGAAUCAACUCCCCAACAAGUCUUCCAAGAAGUGAUGACCGAUGAUGCUUAUAGAGAAUAUGAUGAGAAGGAUGAGUUGAUCAAGAAGAAGAAGAAGGAUGGUGAGAAGAAAGAUGAUGAGAAGAAGAAAAGUUUGGCAUUCAAGGCCUCCACAUCCAAGGGCAAAGCCAAGCAAGAAUCAUCAAGUGAAGAAGAAGCAAGCUCUUGUGAUAGUGAUGAAGAUGAGGAGAUGGCUCUUCUUGUCAAGCGAUUUGGCAAGUUUAUGAAGAAGAAGGGCUAUCGGGCUAGAAGGAAGAAGAGCUCCUCCAAGAAGAAUGACCACUCCAUGAGGUGCUGUAGAUGCCAUAGCAAGGAUCAUCUCAUCGCGAAGUGUCCUUAUGAUAGUGAUGAUGAAGAUGCUAUCAAGAAGGAAAGAAAGAAGCGAAAGAAGAAGCAAGAAAAGAAGGAAGGCUCAAACAAGAAGAAGGGUGAUGCCCAUGUUGCAACUUGGGAUAGUGAUGACUGCUCAAGUGAUGAUGAGAGCACCAAGAAGAAGGUGCAUGCUAGCAUUGCAAUUCAAGGAAAAAGCUACAUCUUCGACACUCCGUCAUGCUUCAUGGCUAAGGCCACUAAGGUAUCAUCCGAUGAUGAGAGUGAUCAUGAUAGUGAUAGUGAUAGUAAUGAUGAUGAACCAAAUAAAGAUGAACUAAUCACUAUGUUAGAAGAUUGCACUCAUCACUAUAAAGAAACUAGAAAGGAGUGCAAGGUCUUGCUUAAGGAUAAGAAAACCCUUGAGCAAGAACUUGAUGAGCUUAGAGCAUCUUAUGAGAGUCUAAAGGAAGACCAUAAGAAGCUUCAAAAGGCUCACACUAAGCUUGAAGAAGCUCAUUCCUCUCUAGUUAACAAGUGUAAAAAUGAGCCAACUAAAAUUGAAAAAGCUCAAACUUGCAACAUAGGCAUAACAUGUGAUAUCUUGAGUAAGCCUAUUGUUAUUGCUUCUACUAACCCUUCAUCUAGCACAUCCACAUCAUCCUCAUCUAGUAGUGAUGGUUUCACAUGUGACACCACACUAAAAGUUGAGAAUGAAAUUCUCAAGAAGGAGGUGAAGGAGCUCAAUCACACCUUAGCCAAGGCUUAUGGUGGUGAGGACCGCUUGCUUAUGUGCUUGGGUAGCCAAAGAGCUGUUGACGGUCCUUAAUGCUCACAUCUAACCAUCAACUAAUCAUGGAAAAGGAUCUUAAAGGAACCAACACCUAGACUUAGGGUUUUAUCUGACAGAAUUCCAUGAGUUUUGGUGUUUGUCUAUUUCUGCAAGGGGUUAUCAGGAAAUACGGAAGAAAGGCCCACACGUCGGGUUUACAUAGAGAUAUUAACGUGCCGCAUAAUUUUCUACCAUCUAGAAUAAUCCAGAAGCCACGGGAACGAACGGGAAGGCGAUCGGGCUCGGAGGCAGGGCACCCGACCUACUCUCCUGGGCGCCCGCCCUGCUACAGUGCCCAAUCAGGGUCAACUUCGCGGAUCGUGCUCCACCGACUCUAAGGAUCAAGGAAAAUCACACGAUUAAGGUCGGUUUGAUCGGAUGGUGGAGAAUAACGUGGAAAUUCCUUGGGAGCUACUCUUCCUAGAUUUCUCGGGAGCUACUCUUCCUAGAUUUCUUGGGGGCUACUCUUCCUGGACUAUAUAAGCAGACCCCCACCAGCCCCUGGAGGCAUACCUCUUCUAUAGAAUCAAAGCUAGGGUUUCAAUUCUUCAUCCAAGUAGAGAGGAUCCCUCUAGUUCUUCUAGUUCUACCUCUAGUUCAUUUAGAUCUAGUUCUAGUUCAUCUAGUUCUAGUUCUAGUUCUAGUUCCUCUAGUUCUAGUUCUAGUUAGUUCUAGUUGUAAUCUAGAAAAUAGGGAGAGAGAAGAGGAGAGCGGAGGAGGAGCCGGAUCUGUCGGAUCUUCCUCAACAUUAUACUUUUGCAGCAUCUGGUUCGUUCUUCAUCGUUCUCUAGGUUCUUCAAUUCAUAAUUCCUAAGUUCUUUAAUUACUUUUAUUUACAUUCAAGUUAUUUAUUGGAUUCCCGCUUGCAUCAAGUGCUCUAGUCUUUAUAACGCUAGAGUAGUAAUUAAUAGAUUAGACGUGGUGUUUAGUCUUGCGAUUACCUGGAAUUGCACCCAAUCCUGCGGAUUGUUGUGGUAGCCUUAGGGUAGUGACAGCCCUAAUGGUUGACGUAUUCCACCACGUUCGGAUCGGUGUUUGUAGGACCGUAGUCAGACCUUCCUAGCCCCCUUCUCAUCUCUUUCCGUGGUUAGUGCUCUGAUGUCCCGAUAUAGAUAAUCUUGAAGUAAUUCUUGAUUCUUGGAUCAACUAGAGAACUCUCAGGAAACUUCCUCUCUUCCCACCAAAAAUAAUUAUAUAGUUAUCCUUGGGCGAUCUUGGAUCUUAAUUAGUACACUCACGUUCUCUGUGGAAAAUCGAUACUCUGGAAUACUCCCGGGUGAAAGCUACAUCGGUAUCCGUGCGCUUGCGGAUUUUUUCUGUUUGCGUUUAGAAUACCCAACAAGCUUUCUGGCGCCAUUGCCGGGGAACGGUAGCUGUGCUAGUUUCGUACCGAGUCAUCCAUGUAUCCUUUAUCUUUUCCUUUUUUUACCACACUCACCUUAUCACUUUCACCAUACCACAUGGAUUUCACUCUAAGCAUUAAUGAGCAUGGAAUUUAUUUCAUAGCCACUUCAUUUACUCCAUGCUCAUAUGCAACAUCUUCACAAUCCAUUGGUCUCUCCAACAUCAUCACAUUCGAGAUCUCUAACCCCCAAUUCCUUUCUAUUCAUAAAAACUUUAAAAGGGCAGUUGUUGAUGCAUAUGUCUAUAUUAAAUAUUGCAGAUCUCGUUGAGUUGAUCUUGAUAUAGGUCAGCGUUGGAGGGGAAACCACUUCGCCGACAUAAAUUGAUGGUUUCCCAAGGACAAGCUUAGUGUCCUAAAAUAAAGCACUGAUUAGAUCGUAACAUGAGCUUUUAAUUAUUUGCAACAUUACCUUGUGUAUUGAGCAUAUAAGGAUAAUUGUAAAAAAAAAAUUCUUCAGGUAUUCUUGUCACUAACCUUUCCAGGAUUGGAGCAAGAAGAUCAGAUGAAUGACAAGCACAAGGUAUGUCCAACCAAUCAUCAUACAACGUUGAAUUAAAUCCAUCCAAACUUGAAUUUUGCAAAAUUCAAGCUUGGGGGAGUACUUUACAUUAAAAACAUCCUUUGCCAUGUUGCUAUGUUGGUUGUCCCUACCUUUGAGACAUGCUCAAUUUGUUAAAUACUAAUCACACUACUUCAUCUCCACUUGAGUAGAUCUCUAUAAAUGCUCUCAUGCUACCUUUAUUUGCUUUAGUAUAUGUCUAGGUUUGGAGUAGUUUCAUUUAUCUCUUAAUUAAGCAUGGUGCUUAGUUUAGGAAUGAUGAUGUUACUUCCAAGGGAUUUUAAAUUAAGCAUGGAGCUUAGGCUAAAAUGCCCUCCUAAAUCAAAGUAGACACGGUGUCUAGGUUGAUUUUGGAGCCGAUAGUAUGCUAUAGUAGAUAUUGGAUAUUUUGUUGGACUAACCCCUGCAGGAAAACUUUCAAUAUCGACCUGGGAUGUCCUUAGAUAAACUCACAUUGAAGACAAAGAGUGAGACACAUGAAGUUUAACAAUUUACACAAGGAAGGCAUAGCUCACAAGAGAUGAUCCAUGCAGGGUGCCACAAACACGAUGCAAAACCGCUAAGAAAGGAAAGCUUCCACAAGGUGAUACGGUACCAUCACUCUUCAAGUAAGGUAACAUCUUAAGGUACUUGACUAUCACUUCUACAAGCUUCUCCUUGUUUCUGGCGUUCACAUGAAUAAAAGAGACAAACAUGUAUGAUUUACAACUCUAGAUUAACAAACCCAAUCGAUUCAAUAUGUUUAGUCCUUCCACCUUUGUGAUCCCACACUCCUAAUCAUAUGAGCUAAAAUGUUGCACACUCAAUCUUUGGAAGAUAUAUAAAAAACAACAUAAAUAUAGAUAGAUUAUCUUUCCAUUAGGUUGAGCGAUCUGAUCUGACAAAUGUUUUAAAUGCUACACUCAUGAUCUUAUUAUCCAUCAACUUUGUCUUGCUCACUAUGCUUAAGGUUAGAGAAGAGCAAAUACACUUUUGGUUCUGUUGGUGUUUUCCACCAAUAGGGCCCAUGCACUUGAUCUCUGCCUUGUCUCUAUGAGCAGGUACACUUCGAGCAAAAUAUGGAGGAGUUUUACAACUCCCAGACUCCACCAAGUGAAGAACCUAGAUCUACGAGCACACACACACUGGAGAUACUGGACACUAAGGCAAUCACUGCCCUGAGAUGCUUGAGGACGUAACUACUAGAGUAACCCUGUUGUGGAAGUAAUUAAUGACCUUCUGCCGGUCAAGAGAGGCAAUCCAGGACGCCCCGUCAUCCCGAUCUCCAUCGGCAUGGUGGACUUCCCAGAAGCACCCUACGACUUUGGCUCCAGCGUCAACAUUAUGCCCAGGUUACUCUAUGAAAAAUUCUUUACACAUCCUUUACGAGAAACAACCAUGUAUUUGCAGCUUGCAGAUCGGACACUAAGUUUCCCAAACGGAGUAUUGAAGAACCUCUACGUCCGAGUUGGUACCUUAUACGUCCCAGCAGACUUCGUAGUGAUAGAGACUGGUAUUGAUGAGAGGGCACCCAUCAUCCGAGGGAGGCCAUUCCUAAACAUUUCGGGAGCUGUCAUCUACGCUAGUGCUGCCAAGAUCAGUUUUUACAUCAAGGGAAGGAAGGAGACAUUUUCCUUGAAGAACAAGACUACACAAAUCUCACAGCAUUCCCGACAUGAACCAAGGAAGAGGACCAACAGGAGGAACAGGAACAAGCAAAUGUGGACUGAGUCAGCUAAGAUGGUCACUGCAGCUCAAGGAGAAGACGCUUUGCGACACCGGGUCAGGUGUCAACAUAAUGGCCGCAGUCACCUAUCAGCUUCUGUUCGGAACCAUGCCCCUGAAACCGACAUACAUUCAACUCUAGAUGGCAGAUCAGACAUUCUGAACGAUUGAAGGUUAUUGACAUGGGAGAAGACGAGUACGAUCCACCCAUCAUCCUUGGAAGACCGUUCUUUAGCACCGUUAAAGCAAUCAUCUACAUUGAAACCGGAGAAGUCCACAUGCACUUCCCCUCUGAGAAGGUACGCCACUACUUUACUGACCCUAACUAUAUAGUUGAAGACUCUAAGCAGGUUAGGACAAGAAGAAGACAACGCAACCGCAACCAGAGGAGGCAAAUUAUCAAGGACGGAUGGACAGACUACGAAGGAGAAGUAGUGAGGUCUGAAGACAUACAGCUUGAACAAAACUGUCCUGAGAAGACCGUAGCACCGAAUUAGGUGUGGAGAGAGAAGAUAGUUAUACACGAAGAGCAGGCUCUACCGGAACCACCGACUAUGCCAUCCAGCGAAUCCCAGGACGACUGAGAAAACGGAGAGUCCCGUUCGGAGGACUUAAAAACACCAAACGCCUUGCCAAGAGGUAAACUUGGUAGUUAUCUUUUUCCUUUCAAUUAUUUUAAAAUAGUUUACUUAGUUAAUCAGGUUCACAUCAUCUUAAAAAGAAAAUAAAAAUGUUAAAAAUAGAAAGCCCCAUGUGAGUAUGCUCAUGGCAUAAAACCCAUAAGUACAUUCACUGUGGUGGUGUAAGAAUGAAAUAAAUAUAUUCCUUUCCUAUAAAAUGAGAAUAUAAAAAUAAAUAAAUGAUCCUACUAAAGAGAGUAACAUUUAUUGAGGAGGCGCAACAUGAUAAAGGCUAGAUAUUUAUGCUAACACUUAACCAGUUCCACAAAGCUUUUUUUGUCUAUUUGAGCUCCACAGAAUUCAAGGAUCAAAGAAGACUAGCAGACGGAGGAUAUCCUAAUCGCUGUCAGGGUGCUGCCGACAUUCAAAUACACCUCCACCACUUGCUAGCUACAUCAAAAGGAAUUACGUCAAAAUCCAGCUUGGGGGAGAGCAACCCCAUUUAUCCAGCUAAGUGUUCUACUCACGUUUAUAUUUUACUCAAAUAAUAAAAAGAUGCAUAAUCAUAAAAACCAAAAUAAAGAUUCUGUGCUUAUAUAUGUCUUUGCUUAGUUUGCUAAAUAAAUAAAUAAAUAAAGUUUGCUAUGAACCCUCAUGACAAGCUCUCACAUGGAAAUGAUGAAUAGUUGCUCUGUCAUGACUAGUUCUCAAAAAUUGAAAUCUCUCUCAAGUUUAGGCAUCACUGUUAUGAAUUAAGAUUUGCUCUAAACCUAAACUUGUGGGGAGAGUACUUGAUCUAAAGUCUAAGUUGUUAACGGAUAUGAUAUGGGAAGGUUGAGCUGCUGUUUAUCUGUUCCUAGAGAUGCUAGAAUUCUGGAGAAUUUUAUCUUUGAAAAAAUCUUUAAAAUGUUGCAUGAUGAGUUCCUGUAUGAUGAGAGUUUAAAUUCCUACCACAGCCAUAUAUACAUGCUUGCUAGACUUUGAGCCACACAUUUACUUUUUACUGCUUAUGAGCAUUGAGUGUGGUCAAGCUGUGUAGACCCUUAGGAGCUUGUCAUGUGGUUAAGUCAAGAUUCACUUGCACGUUCACUCACACAUGCUGCUUCUACUCCGGAAGUACGCAUCCACAUAUAUCCACCCAUUUCCAUCUCCAGAAUCACCUAAAAAUAUUCUACUCCUAAUCCGGGAGAGAAUAGCCAAAAACAUUUCUAUUUUUCCCUAUGAAAUAAAUGCUCAAGUUAUCUUGGUUACUACCACUUGCUAUAUUAUUUCAGGAGAUGAGUGCUCUAAAAAAAGAAAGAAUACGAGGAAAUAAAAAGGGGCAAGUGCCCGGAACCUCGAAAGAAAAGAAAAAAGUGAGACGAGAGGUAAAAAUGGACAAGUGUCCGACAGUAGAAUUAGGGUUACAAGAUACCCACCUGAGAGAAAAGAAAAAUAAAAUAUAGAGCAUCUCAUUCUCCUCAAAAAGUUUCAAAAGAGCAAGAAAGGUAUGUAUCCCCUCAAAAGAGCACAAGUAGAAUUAGACUUUCACCAUUGUUAUCACCAUCAUUACCAUGCACCAUUCAUUUGCCACACAUGCACAUCUUGAUUUGACUUAUUGACUUGUUCUUCUGGAUCCAUGGUUUGACUAUGCAAUAAAUGUCUUGUAAGUAUGUAUUAGCUGUCUCCCACCUAUGAGCUCCAGAUAUCAAAACCUUAUAAGAGUAAGGUCAGAGAGAAGGCAAUGCCACUAUGCCUUAUACCACAAAUACCACAUACUUUGAGAGAAGGCAUAUACCAAUGCUGCCUUGGUAAGGAUCCAGAAAUACCACAAAAGAUAGACUAGAGAUAGUCAUACAAGGAAUCUCUGAGUUUUAUUUGAAAAUCUGCAAAAACUCCAGAGCUAUAGUUAAUCGAAGAACAAGAGACAUGGAGCUUGACUAGAUUGUUCUAACUUUUAACUGCUUAAGACAUAAGUGACGGUUACAAGCCCCAUGGUGGAAGGUAAUAUGAGUAAGUUUAAAUCUUAAUAGUUUACCCUAACCCAGAGAUAAGAUCUUCUUUGAACGCAUGUGUAUCUUUAAGGCAUAAAACCACUAUAGAAACUCUUGAGUCCAUCUUUCCUCAGGGACGAGCAAAUGUUAAUCUUGGGGGAGCUUGUUGACGGUCCUUAAUGCUCACAUCUAACCAUCAACUAAUCAUGGAAAAGGAUCUAAAUGGAACCAACACCUAGACUUAGGGUUUUAUCUGACAGAAUUCCACAAGUUUUGGUGUUUAUCUAUUUCUGCAGGGGGUUAUCAGGAAAUACGGAAGAAAGGCCCAC